RNAcentral lists this ribosomal RNA (450 nucleotides) under uncultured bacterium. Its description in RNAcentral is "bacterial SSU rRNA". It matches the Rfam family "Bacterial small subunit ribosomal RNA", at positions 354 to 796 of the family's 1533-position model. The record is from RNAcentral.
GUGGGGAAUUUUGCGCAAUGGGGGAAACCCUGACGCAGCAACGCCGCGUGAGUGAUGAAGGCCUUCGGGUUGUAAAGCUCUUUUAGUGGGGACGAAAUCCCGAGGUUCAACAAAUCUCGGGGAUGACGGUACCCACAGAAAAAGUUCCGGCUAACUACGUGCCAGCAGCCGCGGUAAUACGUAGGGAGCAAGCGUUGUUCGGAAUUAUUGGGCGUAAAGAGCGCGUAGGCUGUCUUGUAAGUCCGAUGUGAAAGCCCACGGCUUAACCGUGGAACUGCAUUGGAUACUGCAGGGCUGGAGUGCGGGAGAGGAGAGUGGAAUUCCCAGUGUAGAGGUGAAAUUCGUAGAUAUUGGGAGGAACACCGGUGGCGAAGGCGGCUCUCUGGACCGCAACUGACGCUGAGGCGCGAAAGCUAGGGGAGCAAACGGGAUUAGAAACCCGGGUAGUCC